RNAcentral lists this ribosomal RNA (712 nucleotides) under uncultured bacterium. Its description in RNAcentral is "bacterial SSU rRNA". It matches the Rfam family "Bacterial small subunit ribosomal RNA", at positions 77 to 824 of the family's 1533-position model. The record is from RNAcentral.
UUGCACUAGACAAAGAGAGUAGCGCACUGGUGAGUAACACGUGGGAACGUACCUUGAAGUGGGGAAUAGCGUCUGGAAACGGACGAUAAUACCGCAUAAUCCCUGAGGGGGAAAGAUUUAUCGCUUUAAGAACGGCCCGCGGAAGAUUAGGUAGUUGGUGGGGUAAAGGCCUACCAAGCCUACGAUCUAUAGCUGGUCUGAGAGGACGAUCAGCCACAUUGGAACUGAGACACGGUCCAAACUCCUACGGGAGGCAGCAGUGAGGAAUAUUGGGCAAUGGAGGCAACUCUGACCCAGCCAUGCCGCGUGAGUGAAGAAGGUUUUCGGAUUGUAAAGCUCUUUCGGAUGUGACGAUGAUGACGGUAGCAUCUAAAGAAGCCCCGGCUAACUUCGUGCCAGCAGCCGCGGUAAUACGAAGGGGGCAAGCGUUGUUCGGAAUUACUGGGCGUAAAGGGAGUGUAGGCGGUUUAGUAAGAUAGUGGUGAAAUCCCAGGGCUUAACUUUGGAAUUGCCAUUAUAACUAUUAGACUAGAAUUACAGAGAGGAUAGUGGAAUACCCAGUGUAGAGGUGAAAUUCGUAGAUAUUGGGUAAAACACCAGUGGCGAAGGCGACUAUCUGGCUGUACAUUGACGCUGAGGCUCGAAAGCAUGGGGAUCAAACAGGAUUAGAUACCCUGGUAGUCCAUGCUGUAAACGAUGAGUGCUUGUUGUC